GUAAGACAAUUUGAAGGAUCUAGGUUAUGUUUGGGCUUGUCUUCUAUGUAUACUCAUGGCUGCUAAUAGUGUUGAAUCUUUGUGGUUAAUUUCUGAAUUUUAGAGAUUCCAUUUUUCCUGUUGUGUGAUAUCAAUGUUUAGAGUUGAAUGCAUAACAAAAUAUUCACUUUGUGUACAAAAGUUGUUGGUACUUCUUGUUUCCCAUUUCUUUGCUUAAAUAAUUCUUAGAAUUAGCUGCUCAUGCUCAUUACCAAUUUGCAAAUGUGAUCUAGGUCUCAUACCAUUCACAAUUUUUUUCCAGCAUCCUUCUUUUUGCUUAUCUGUAUAUCACAGAUGCAUCAGAUCUUAUAUUUUUAAGUUAUCAUAAUAUAAAAACAUAUGUAAGUUUGUUUUGGUGAUAGAAGAUGAAUGUACAAUUUGAAUUAUUAAAAUAAAUCUUGAAAGUAAGUGCAAGAAUACUCCUAAGUUGAGUUGUAACAAAAACUGUUCUUAGGUAAUUAAAUUGCUUCAGACCUCAUUAGAGACUUGUAUUGCAGACAAACUUGUUAAAUUGUUUACUCGUCCAUAAACUUUGUGAUCAAGGACCCUAGCUUUGAAUUCUCAAGAAGGAAAAUAUAUAUAUAUAUAUGUAAUGUAAGAGACUAUUGACAUGCUUUAGGAGGACCACCAUCUCCUGAACAUGAUAAUUUAUCAUUUGAACGAUGGGAUCAAAACACCAAACAGUAGCUAAAUGAUUGAUAAAAGUGGUAAUAUCCAUAUCUCUUUUCCUGCCAAUUUUUCGCUGAUCAUUGUAAUGACUUCCAUUGAGGAACCCUUAGCAUCACAAGUUUUCAGAACUCUUCCAAGCUGUAGUUUCCUAGAGAGUUCAUCCUCACUUAAAGACAUGCCAGGCCUUAAUGGUGCAAAAUGGCUCAACAGUAUGGCUGAAGGAGCAUUAAAUAGAAACUAAAAAAAAAAAAGUUCUUUGUUUCGAUUUCUGAUUAGGAAUUAUCCACUGUCUGGCUUAAGGUUGAUCCACUGUCAGUUUCUUAGGCAAACUGCAGAGGACAUAGAGAUAGUUACCUCUGGAAAAGAGUCACAUAUGGGGUCGGCGAGGAUUGCUUCUAGUAAGAAUAUGCCUGCUUUACUUGCAUGUAGUUUUUAGCAUCCUCAUAUGGCAUAGGGCUAUUCUGUCAUUCAGCACACACAAAAAAGGAUAUUUUCAUUCUCUUUGCAAAAAGGAAUACUACCGUGAUCAUUUGGCUUCACUAAUUAUUAUGUAACAAAAUAAUUUUUGUCCACACCACCACAUUUCGCAGAAACGCUAUUAUAUUUCCACCCCAUCUCUACCAACUGCCAUCCUGCAGGAGAAUUAUAAUUUUCUUAGAUGGCUUUUUACUAAUGGCAAAUCAUAUGAAGGGACUG
RNAcentral lists this unclassified non-coding RNA (1404 nucleotides) under Hevea brasiliensis (rubber tree). The record is from RNAcentral. Lineage: Eukaryota; Viridiplantae; Streptophyta; Magnoliopsida; Malpighiales; Euphorbiaceae.